AUCAGCUGUUGGAAGGACCAUCAGCCCACAAGAGCAGAGAGCGCUGGCGGAGUUGUGCCCCAACACGCUCUGCUCCCUAGUCACCCUCUGGUUGUGUUACCUGCGUAAAAGCGUUAAAAUAACAGAUAAAAAAUAAAUUAACAUCACGUUACCUCAUCAGAAAAAGAGGCGAAGGAGUCGUGAGUGAACAGGGCUUGUAUCAAAGGAAUAAAGAUUCCUGACACAGGAUAAGUGGCCGGGGAGGUGGGCGUGGGGUGUAGUGUCUCUCUCCUGCUGUGUGGUUCACCGAUAAACUUAAGAAAGGUGUUUUACUGCCCCUGAGACUCGACUAGAAAUCAAAGAGCAGUGUGGCUGUGAGCUGAGAGGUCACCGUGGAUGAGCUCAUGGCUGGCAUAUCGUGUGAACUGAUGAAAGAUGCGCGGACUGUAGGAACACACUGCUGAUCAUCCUGUCGGGAGUGUCUCGCUAACUGACCAAGUACGUCUCACUCCAUCGGUGUGUCUACUACCGGCGUGUCGCCGUGUCAAGAUGAAGAACUUACUGUGUGUCGUGGCGAUAGUGACGACCUUUCUCCACCUCAGCGAGGGGAGGUUGUGCUACAACUGCAUUGGAAACUGUGUCACCGAUUCAGAGUGCAAGGGUUCGUGCACCACCUCGGUCCUGGAGUUGGGUGGCAACGAGGAACGUAGCUGCAUCAACGAGACGGUGGAGGCCAGGUGUAUAUCAGAGGAGAGAAUGGGGGAGAAAUACAAGACUUGUUUCUGUAACACCGAGCGCUGUAACUCCUCCUCUCAGGUGUUGUUCAAUCUCGCCAUCUUAUUGCUGGCUGCUUCACUACUGCAGCAGUUGAGGUAGAGACCCCAAUGACGACCUCACCACCGUAGCAACUGAGGUAGAAAUCCUCCUGUUCCUCUUCCUCCUGCUGCUGCUGGUGGCCUCACUGCUCUUGUAGUAUAUGUAAACAGUCCUGCUACCUUCUCCUGGGGACUACCGAACCACCUAGAUCACCAUUAUCGGUCUCGCUUCUGUGGUACAUGAGGCUAUCAACCCCUCCUCUGCCUCAAGACAUCAACGGUAUUAUAUCAAGCAAUUUGGUGAGACUCCUCGCGUCCUUAAAGGUAUCGCGACGGCAAAAUAUAUGAAGGUCCACGUCUCCUUCUAGUCUUCUUGGUGUCAGUGAAAGUAGCUGGCCCUCUUAUCUCUCUGUUUCUAGUGGUGGCUUCAUCACCACCUGCUGCUGGAAAAGGCUGCCAACAGAUGAGACCUCACUAGACAACGUGUCACCACUUCGAGCAGCUAAAGUUGAGACCUUUCUCAUCAUCUCGUCUCUUGGUCUGUUGGUGCUCUCCUGUUCAACAAGUCGUAUCAGGAAAACUCGACAACGUGAGGAUAGAAAAGUGUGUAACAGAUGGCGAGGAUUGUGUUAGAAGAGCACAGCAGAGACAGUACUGUAGUCUUAUUAAAAGAAGCAUGAACACUGAGGUUUAGAAUCACCAGACGAACGUAAGCUGUCACAGUGUUGUAACCAGAAGCGAAUAUUUGUCACAUACAUUUUACUGAAUAAUGUUUAUCGAUAAAGAAAAAUAAAACUGCAGGAGAUUGGUGUGGCCGUAAACAGUGGGAGAAGACUAUUGAUCUCAAAUUUGUGUUGGGGAACAGGUUAGUGUCGUCCACAACACAUCUCGACGGCCACUGACCCGGACGGUGCAGAUGUGUCUUGCGUGAGGACGCCUUCACCCCCCAGUGUGCUGACAUCGAUCUCCCUGACUCCUCUCUAAGCUAUGAGAUCUUACAACCAACUUGACCUUUCCUUACACUCUUCUUGCUCUUUCUUCACACUGCUAGACACUUUUAUAGUCUACGUGAUUUUCCCUACACUCUUCUUUCAAAAUACGUGACCUUUUUAAAAAAUUAUUUGUGACAUUCCUAGGCUGUACGUACGUAAACUUUCUACAAACUACGGGAACUUCUUAGGUUCUACAUCACCAUUACUCCUGUAAGAUCUCCAUGACUUUAUUUUGUUUCAUGUAACCUUCAUACAGUGUGACCUGCGUGACAUUAAGGGGUUACGUGACCUGUCUACGAGAUGUGACCUCUGUUCCACCUACAUAACCUUUCUUUCAUCUACUUUCCCCUCUUAAGACGUAGUUGGCAUUUCUAUGAGCCUUGUGACUCAUGAAGACUCACGUGACUCUCCUGCGAUCCACUUGACUCUCCAUCGACUUCGGUAACCUUCACACUGACUGCUGCUGCGGGGCCAAGUCAUUGUUACCAACAUCUAUCCUCUGGGUAGAACCUUGUGCCUUUCAUCGCAGUAUCAUUAUAUUUUCCCACUCGUGUGUGUUGAUGACAUAACAAAGUAUACUUUGACAUUUCCUGAAAAAGAACUUAGUGUUUUUUUUUUUAAUUUUAUAUAUAUUUUUUUUUUCAUAAAAUUUGUUUUGAAUGAUGUUCAGCACAGCACACACUUGACCUGUGAUGUGUCGUAUAUUCACGCGACUGGAAAAGUAUGGUAAUAUGGCAAAAUACAGUAUAUCUCCUUUAACAUGACCAAGUCGAGUGCUAUCCAGGCAGCCACGCCCGCCCGGCGAGGCAGAGGACCUGCCACCUCCGUCAGGGCGCGGCGCCGCGCUGGAUGGUCAAUACAAGUGAUCCACGCUUUGCCCUCGUUACAGCAGAGUUUUGUUGAUGUUUUAGUUAGUGACAUCACAAGGUGUUGCUGGUGGAUCAUGACGUCACUGUAUAUACACGCUCACCGUUUAAGAUUUCUUGUUAAUUGUUAGAUCAUGAUCAAUGCAUUGUGGUGAGCGUAAACAUACAUAUACAUGUACUGUAUAUAUAUAAAGUUGAACCAUAGAGAAUUUAAGAUUAUAUUCUACAUUAACCUUCAGUACCUUCCCCUGUGUAUGUGGGCUACAGCCAGGUGGUAACAGUCGUAGGUGAGUUGUGUUGUGCUUCAUUUGUGGUGUGUCACUCACUCAACAUGGCGCCGUGCUGUAAAGUAGAUGUUUCAAUUGUUCACCCACAUAGUCCCAAGGUUCAGGUUCUAAGAGGUUCAUACGAUAUUUUGUUGUUGUUCUAUAAGUUAAACGGUAAACUGUUUCCUUAUAUCUUAAUAAGAACAAUUAUCGUUGGAACCUUUAUAAGAGUUUGAAUCCUGAGUGUGUGUGUUGGUGACGUAGCAUCUUCUUCCCCCAUAUAGUGUGUGUGUGUGUGUGUGUGUGUGUGUGUGUGUGUGUGUGUGUGUGUGUGUCUUGUCUAAUAUCUACUACGCCUUGUGGGGGUUUACUUCUGUUAAAUGAUGUGAUGUGAUGGUAUAUAGAUAGAUAACAACAGUAUAACAAGCUUGAUGGAGUCGCACCGUAAUAGUUACUGUAGAUGAAUUAUGUUGUUAGAGUCGGCCAAACCUAAUGCUCAAAAUCGAGUCAAUAUUUACUUCGCCGUUCCAGCAGUUUGACAGUAGUAAUGUUGUGUGAGUGUUAGUAGUAGAUUUUGGUCUUUUUAAAGUGUUUAUAGUUGUGAAAUUUUUUUAUUGAUUCUUUUUGAAAAAUAUUAAUGCAUAGUUGAGGUAUUUUUUUUUAACAGGUCAUAUCAGUUCACAAAUACCAACCAUGAUAUUAUUAUUAUUAUUAUUAUUUUUUUUUGUGUUGUUGUGUUGGUGUAAAGAUGAUAUGUAUGGUGUAUCUAUGAGCCUAAAGUCAAUAUUGUCUUAAAUGUAAAUCACUGAGCACAUUUGACUGUUUACUUGUAAAUUUAAAGCAUCAGAUUAGUCACAACAAAGAAUUUUUUUUCUGCCUUUUAGAAGAUACACUAUAUGUAAAUGUUUUCUUUAUAUUAACUGUAGAAUUCUGACAAGACCUGUUAACACAAACUAGACAAAUUUAGUGUUUAAUCCUGACCUGAGUUUGACACUUCCCGGGCGCUUGGGUCUUGAUGUGGACAGAAUGGAUAAGUGACGCGUAAUAUUUCAUCAUCAUUUCCUAUAAUUACUAGACUCGAAUAAACUGGGAUCCCUAUAACCAGUGUCUUGAUUAUUCUAAAUGUCUUGUCAUCAUUUAUUUCCCAAUUACGGAAACGUAUCAUGAUUUCUUUUAGAGCCCAGUGCGUCAACUUGUUCGGAUAAUCAAAAUCCACUUUUAUCGGGAUCUGAAAAGUAGAUAACAUUUCUUUGAGCCAAUCUAAAUAAAAAAAAUAAAUUAUAAAAAAAAUCAUGUAAGGACGUAGAACCCCAGUCUUGUGUAAAAAUCCUGUUGUUGUACUUGUAGGAGGCAGUACCGUGUGUGACGCUGAAGAAGGCCACGCAGGCGGGCGAUCUCCUCCUAAGUGACGUACGCUAAAUUUAAUGUUUAAAUUGAGUGUUUUAUUCCAUGUUAGGUGUUCUAGGAGAGGACCAUUGUGUUAUUGGUAGAUUUAUAAUGACGUGAAGCUUUGUGUGUCGAGCUCCUGUGUGGUAACUGAGUCAUUUAGUAGUAAUGAUUUAUCGACUGUGUUCAACGCAUGAGUAGAUAGCUCCGGAGUGACUCAUUGAUUACUUAUUUAAGCUAAUACAUUUCUUCCCCUUAACAAUCAAUAUUUUUUUUAUAGAUUCAUCCCUUGUCUAUAUUUAAUUAUCGGUUGCAUCCGCUGCCUCAACAAUAUAAUAAUUGCUUUACCAUUUUUCAGUUGCUUGCACUAGUUGUGUUCUUCCUUGACGCCGCCAUUUCGCUUCUUUCUUGUUUCUAUUUAUGAGUUUUUCCUUUAAUAUUGAUCUGGUAUAUGUCUGUAGUCUACUUGAAAAGGCACGGAAGAGAAUCUCUGCGAGGGAUCAUUAAUACAGAGGUUUGAAUCUGGUGUUAUCGACUGCCAGUACCUCAAUGCGAUACCCAAGCAGCGAUUCCUUCCCGUAAUCCGUCUAAGUGAGAUGAAACAGGACCUCAGUAAUGGUUUAUAUGAUCGAAUAAGGACCUCAUAUAGAACUAGAUCGUUGUGUGCAUGUGUACAGCUUAAGAUAAAUGUAGAACCAUUGGAAAAUAUUGUAUGUUUAAUUUGUCUCGACUUAAAAUUAAUGCUAUGAUUCCUAUUUCCAGAGCUACGGUGAAUUUGAGAACCGUCAUAAACCUCUAUGUAAUUAUGUGUCUGUAUAAAACUUAAGGUAAAUAUUAACUGCAAAAAUAUCCUACUAACUGUAAGUCAAAACGGUACAAAUGGACCCCCCCCCCAACAAAAAAAUACUUUGCAUUAAUAAAACAUCCCGCCAGUCUCCAUCUAUCUGGAAACGCUGACUAUGAACCUAAAACAAGUGAUCAAACUAACUCCUAUAGACGUAAGACACCCUCAAAACACAUCCUAAAAUGAAAGCAAAAUUAUCUGGAUGAUAUUAACCGGAUAUUAUUUUCUCUCAAUCAAAAAUCCCUAACAACAAAUAAACAAACGUAUUUGCUCAUCAUUGUCGUUCUAACGGUUGUUGUGCCUAAUUUCUUUAAUUUUAAUAAGAAACAAAUUUUAUUAUCAUUUAUAUAAUUUCUAGAAAGUUUUUAUUUUAAAUAUUGUUAGUCAUGUAUUCCUCAGUGUAUAAGAUGGUACAAAUUUUCGUUGUAUAGUAAUCCUAAAUGUUUUCGAUGUAUUGUCUAUUUAUAUAUGGAGUUGUUGUUUUUGACUAUGAUAGACUAUUUUAUUUUAUGUACACAUAAUUUUUUUCAUAAUUCUAAGCUGUAUUUAUAAAGAUGUGUUUGUAUAGUAAUUAAAUAUGAUCGAUGUAUAAUUCUGCUUUCGUUGUUUUAGAACUGUAUGAAAAGAUAUCAGGCUAUUUUAUCAGGUAUAAUUAACCAAUACAUACUAUAUUUUGCUAUAUGUUUUUAGGCUGUCUUUUUAUAUUUAUAUGUUUAUACAAUAUUUAAAUAUUUUCUGUGUAUAAUUGUAUCUGAAAUUGGUUUGAGUGUAUGAGCAGAUAGCUUUAUUACUGAACUCGGCCGGAUGCUCAACACACCUCGUAAGUAACGCACUCAGUGGUGUUGUGACUGACUUAACAUUAUUUAAACUUACAACUGCUAAAAUUAAUGUAAACCUGUUAUACGCAGAACUAUUUAGCGAUAUCGUUAGGUUAUUGUAACUCGAAUGUCGAUACCGAGAGUGACUUCCUGCGUGUCAGUCGUGUUUCAUCAACAGAAAGAUUAUAUAAAUGGGUUAAUUACAUUUGAUUUAUAUACUGAAUCAUCCCCUGUAAAUUUCCACUGGCUAUGAGGUGACAUGUUCAGAGCAAGUGAUAAGGUGUGCCCAUGGGAAACCGCGUCAUAUUAUGCUGAGUUUUGCUACUCUAACCCAAUAUAAUAUAAAUGUACCAGCCUAGUUAACUUCGACAGAACCUAUAGUUAACCGGCUAUAACAGUCGGCCAAUCACAUUACGCUUUCAAAACUUACCGACCAACCAAAAGCUAAAGAUAUAAGUUGGAAAAGGUAAAACGUGGGAGGUUGUUUUCUUGGGGAAGUAGUCAGCAGAACACCACCAAGAUAAAAAAAAUAACGCCUGGGACUCAGUUAAAGUGUUAGUUCUGUGCGUUGUCGUAUAAUCUUUAUUACUUACUGUCAUCUAAAGAACAUCUGUGGACAAAAUGAACGAAAUCGAAAAACUCCUUCUGGUGUUAGCCGCCUGCCUCACAGUUGGGUGUGACUGUGUGAGUCGGGGCAGCCUGGGACCUCUUCGUUCACCUCUCUAAAAAAAGUAAAAAAAUUCCUCACACAGCAUCAAAGUUACACACCUAUACAAUAUGUAGAACCUCAAAAAUUUUUCAUUACUUGAGUUAGAGGAUUGCAAAGCUCGUGCGUUUAAAUAUACACCAACUGCACCUCUCCCGCUAAAACAUAAACAAACACAGCUACUAUUUAUAAGGUAGUUUCUUAACUGAUUAGGGAUCUUUUUAAUAUUUUUCCAUUGAAAUAAUAUAUGAAACCUGUUCUCUGUAGUAUUCUCAGAUAAAACAGCUUUAAUGAGUUUUAUAUAACAUGGAAGGCAUAGUAUUUAUGCAAUCUGGAAAUAUACUGCACUGGCUAUGUCAGUACCAUCACAGGAGCUCCGAAGGUCCUGUAAGUUACGGCCCCUGAGACAAUGUGACGUCACAAGAUGGCCGAUAGCUGUGAAUAUCGCUACAGAAAAGACUUACAGCCCCGAGGGUCGAUUUACGGAGUUAACUGGGAGAUACAACAUUACUUUUGAGUAUCCGGGGCUUCAGUGAUAUAUUACCUGUAUAUAAAUGACGUGAGUAAGGUAGUUAGCUUUUAGGUGCGUCAUAUACAGGAGGCUAUAAAAGUUCCUGAAGGCUCUAAGCGUCAGAUAACAUUACAAAACGAACGAAAACUCUAAACAUUCCUCACUAAUGUUUUAUUGUAAAUUAAUCACCUUUUCCACCUGUAAAUACUAUAAAGUUGAGUAACAUAUAUUAUUACGAGAUACCCAGUCACCUCACAACCAGGCAUACCAACCCUUCUGAGGUAACAUGAGCCAUAGAGUUGUACUCAGCUGUGUGAGAAUUUUUCUUUGCCGAUUGUACUCUCACCCACAAAAGUCCUGUUCCCUCUCCUCCUGAACCACGAACCCUAAGAUUCAGACUCAUGAAUCCGAAGCAUUUAUGGUACAGAAUAAUGUAUCAGUCUACUGCUUUGGGUUUAGGAGUCUGAAUAAUAGGGUUCGUGGUUCAGGAGGAGAGGGAACAGGACAUUUGUGGAUGACUGUACAGUAUUGUUAACUGGAGACUUUUUUUCAAUGUUUUUGUUAGCUGCUCAGGUAAAUUGUAAAGCUUACCUGAUGACUAUCCCGGUGAUUAAGUUAGCUGCCAGGUAAAUUGUACUAUAGUUACCUAUAACUACACUACAGAGUUGUAAAGUAGAUGAGAGAAACAUUUAUGUAUUGUAAGUUUACCAAUAUACAUACAUACAUUUAUUCAGUUAU
This 7921-nucleotide unclassified non-coding RNA is filed under the name Homarus americanus (American lobster). RNAcentral describes it as "uncharacterized LOC121858362, transcript variant X1". Lineage: Eukaryota; Metazoa; Arthropoda; Malacostraca; Decapoda; Nephropidae. The record is from RNAcentral.